Chinchilla lanigera (long-tailed chinchilla) is the source of this 2710-nucleotide long non-coding RNA. Ensembl annotates it as chromosome unknown open reading frame, human C9orf50. Lineage: Eukaryota; Metazoa; Chordata; Mammalia; Rodentia; Chinchillidae. The record is from Ensembl.
ACGCCCUGGGCCCCCGCCCCAGGCCGCCCCUGGCCCGGGGAGCCCAAGGCCGCCCGCAGGGGCGUGGGCAGGGGGGCCCGGGACCCCAUGGGCGCGCUCCUGGGAGAGCUGCUCCCCUGCAAAUUCCGUGAGUUCCUGGCCCAGCUGCGGGCCAAGUGCUCAGAGGAGCCGGAGCUGCAGGCGCAGACGCCCUCAGCUCCGAAACAUCAAAGUGGGGUGUCCGGGUCCUGGCGGGAUUCUCCACAGUGUCCCAGCUGCCAGUUCCUCCCAGACCUGAGGGACCAGUUGUCAGACUUCCAGGAGAGACUUGACAAGAUUUUGCGCUACCAGAAAUCUACCCUGGGACCCCUGAGGGGUGACUACUCAGAAUUCCCCACAGUCAAAAAGGACAGCCCGUUCUGUGGCACACCGGGCCCCGAGGCCAUGCCCACCCCCACCCUCUCCAGGGGAGGCCUGGGGCCCCGAAGGCGCAGCUGCCCUUUCCGGGUGCGGUUUGCGGACGAGUCACUCAGGGACAGCGCGCUGCGCUACUGGGAACGUCGCUGUGCAGAGUUGCCCAAACCGGGUGGCAGGAGGCGAGAGGAACCGGAGACCCGGCCUGGAGUAAUUACUGCGAGCCCCUGCCUUUCCUCUCUGUGCCCGGGUGCCCCUGGGCCGCCCGGCGUCAUCCCCAGCAGCGAGUCAUUGAGUGUUACUGUGUGCAGUCCCCAAACCCCACUUGGUCCAGCAGAACAUGACAGCCACCCCGCCAGCAGAGUCGGUGCCCAGGAUGGGGUUGGGGAGCCUCGGGAGGUGGCCGGACAGUUUGCCCAAAGCCGAGUCUCCCCGGGUCAAGGAAGAUGCCACGGCCAGCUCCGCAUGCUGGGCCCACCCUGGCCUGGUCACUGCAGUGAGGCUGUGGAGGGACCUCCCGGGCCUUCUGGACACCUGCAGCUUCCUGGAGCAGGUGGGCCGAUCACCCUCCUCCUGGAGCCAGAAGCCGGAACCCUUUCUGCCCGACCUGGUGCUGCAGUCAGUCUUGAAGCAUGGCUACCCUAAGGGCUACUAGCUUCUGUCUUCCACAACUCUGACUGCUCAUGGGUGCCCCAGCUGAGGGCUGCAUGCCGGCCAGGCAGUGAGGGUGUCCUGCCUCAGCCUACUAAUAAACACAUAUCCCAGGUGGCUGGGAUCUGCUGUUAGGUCUCACAUACAGUGCAAGCCUGCCUUGGGGGGUCUCCGGGGAUUCCUGGGGUGGAGGAGGAACAGCUGGGCCUGCCUAGGGCCUAUGCCAGGUCCUCCCUUCUGAUAUGAUACCCUGCACAACCUCCGACCUGGCACUGUGCAUCUGUCCGCUCAGAUCAGCCCAUACCUGAAGGAGGUGCCUGCCGUGCGGGGGGCCCGGGAAUGGUGAACUGUGCCCCCACCCCUGCCACACCUGUGCUGUGAUCCCUGGACAAAGUGGGCCCCCUCCUCACUGUCACUGGCGCCCAUCCCGGGCCGCUGGUCCAGCUCUUUAUCGCCACCCCCUGGCCAGGGAGGACACAGCCAGGGAAUCACGCAGGCACCUGGCUGGGCAGAAGCCUGGGUCACUCCAGGUGGCCGGGGCUGGACAGCGAUUGGUGGUGACCUUGGGCUGUGGAUGACCGAGGCUUUUUUGGAGUGGCGCCCUGGCUCCAGAAGAAAGGCGGUUGGUAGGCCGAGAAACGGUUUGGACAAAGCCAGCUUGGGGAGGGCUGGGAGCAGCGCCACGACCGCCCCCGCAGGCACACAUGGGGGCUGGAGCGGGAAUCGACUCCCCCUUCCCCCGACCCUUUGGCAUCUCCCUCAUCUCCGUCUCCGGAGUUUCACGCCCCGCGCCCCCCAGCCCAGGCUAUUUCUGGGGGUCCCCGAGGAGACUGGAUUGUUCCACACCAACUCCUGGGGCCUUCGCCCCCCGCGUGCCUCAGUUUCCCCCGCCCGCUCGCCCACCGGCUGCAGCGCCGCACCGCGCCCACGCGGGGGCAGUGUUGGCCUGGCUUUGGCGUCGCCGAAACUUCUCUGCUUCCCGCUCCAGGUCAGAAACUUUUCCCUUCCCGCCCCCGCAUCCCCUCCGCCGCGGGCUCCUGCACCUGCGCUGGCCGCGGCUGCACCUAGGAGAUCUGGGCGAACUUAUUGGUCGCUAUGCAACCCCCCAAGUGCACAGCCUUCGGGGCCCCACGCGCCCCGAGCCCGCAGGUCCCCCGCUCGCCGCGGAGGCUGUGACCAAAGGACGCCGAGCGCAGGAUCUACGCGCGGAUACCGCGCGCCACACCCGCCACACGGAGAGACACACACGACGACGCACACACAGACACCCCCAGACCCCUUCACAGACACCACGGCUCGGAACACAUCGCACCCCCAGUCCUGCCCUGUACCACUCACAGUCGGGGACCCCAGCCCCACGUUGGGGAUCCCUGCUUGCCUGGAAGACGCAAGCGCGUCCUUCAUGGCCCUCCGUAGUGCCUGUCCAUCACCAAGGUGACGCCCGCUGCGAGCAGAGCUGCAUCUGCCUGCGGAAGGGGGUGCGGAGGGAGCGAGCGCGCCAAGAGGCGGCCCCUCCUUGCCACCCAGCCCCGGGCCGCUCCAGGGCGUGAACAAGGCCCAGGGAGGCCCGGCUCUUUCUGAAGGUCACAGGCACGGAGUGUUGGAAUCGGCCUCCAGCUCUGCACUUCUGCCCCGGAGGCAGUGCCGUGGAGCUCCCUCCCGCAAG